AUACGGAGGGUGCAAGCGUUAAUCGGAAUUACUGGGCGUAAAGGGUUCGUAGGUGGUCUAUUAAGUUAUUUGUGAAAUCCCUGGGCUUAACCUGGGCAGGUCAGAUAAUACUGGUAGACUCGAGUAUGGGAGAGGGUAGUGGAAUUUCCGGUGUAGCGGUGAAAUGCGUAGAGAUCGGAAGGAACACCAGUGGCGAAGGCGGCUACCUGGCCUAAUACUGACACUGAGGAACGAAAGCGUGGGGAGC
RNAcentral lists this ribosomal RNA (247 nucleotides) under uncultured bacterium. RNAcentral describes it as "partial 16S ribosomal RNA". It matches the Rfam family "Bacterial small subunit ribosomal RNA", at positions 523 to 769 of the family's 1533-position model. The record is from RNAcentral.